GCAAAUAGCCCCAAGACCCUUGGCUUUGUUCUUACAGGCAAAAAACUAAAACAUGGUACAAAGGGAGAGAAAGAGACCUGGAAACACAGCCUGUCUAAUGCUGAGGCAGCCUUGGUGAAAAGGCUGCACAGCAUUGGUGAGGGAUGGAAGACAAACUGGAUGCAUUAUUGGAUAUCAAAAGUGCAAUGCUGGAGCCUUGGUCUACAGGAACGGAAACAAGACUUGCCUGGCAUGGAGACAUUAUCCCUCCAAAAAACCAUCUAAACUGACCAACACCCUGGAAUUCACCGGGAGAAGAUCCAUUCUGUGGUACUGCAGUAAAUGAUUCCCAUUCAACGCUGGG
RNAcentral lists this long non-coding RNA (343 nucleotides) under Chloebia gouldiae (Gouldian finch). RNAcentral describes it as "Erythrura gouldiae (Gouldian finch) lncRNA (ENSEGOG00005006274.1)". The record is from RNAcentral. Lineage: Eukaryota; Metazoa; Chordata; Aves; Passeriformes; Passeridae.